GUUUGAUCCUGGCUCAGAACGAACGUUAGCGGCGCGCUUAACACAUGCAAGUCGUGCGAGAAAGGGGCAACCCCGGUAAAGCGGCGCACGGGUGAGUAACACGUAGGUAAUCUACCUCCAGGUGGUGGAUAACCUUUCCGAAAGGAGGGCUAAUACAGCAUGAGACCACGAUUUCGAAAGAGAUUGAGGUCAAAGUCGGCCUCUUCAUGAAAGCUGACGCCAGGAGAUGAGCCUGCGGCCCAUCACGGUAGUUGGUAGGGUAAUGGCCUACCAAGCCAAAGACGGGUAGCUGGUCUGAGAGGAUGAUCAGCCACACUGGAACUGAGACACGGUCCAGACUCCUACGGGAGGCAGCAGUGGGGAAUCUUGCGCAAUGGGUCGAAAGCCUGACGCAGCGACGCCGCGUGAGUGAUGAA
Molecule: ribosomal RNA, 416 nt
Filed under: uncultured bacterium
Lineage: Bacteria
Description: bacterial SSU rRNA
Rfam family: Bacterial small subunit ribosomal RNA
Source: RNAcentral